Molecule: long non-coding RNA, 804 nt
Filed under: Marmota monax (woodchuck)
Lineage: Eukaryota; Metazoa; Chordata; Mammalia; Rodentia; Sciuridae
Source: RNAcentral
GCUGAUGCUGUUGGCUGGGGUCCUGACUUUGAGAGCCACCACCUUUACCCGUGUCCAGCCUGAAGCUGUCCUCUGGACGCCUUGCCUGACCUCUGAAUCCUACAUGUCCGCUGCGCCUGGCGUUCCUCCUGACCUGACUUUUGACCUCGUCCUCCCACCUAAACCCUCUCGUCUCCUCUGAGCUCCCGUGACCCCAGGCUGCCUGUGACCCCCGUGGCUAGGGCCCUCCUGCCCAGCCCUGCCCGGCCCCUCUACAGGCCUCACUUGGUCCUCUGUCUGUCCCAGGUGCUUGUCAGAGGAUCACCGAGGGCCCUUCUCUGGUGUCCAGCGGAGGGGCUGUGGGGGCACACAGGCCCUCGGCUCCCCCCGCCUCCCCAGGGCCUCUUACACACCAGGGAACGGCGCACAUCAGGAGAGUGUCCAGUCCACAGAGUCUCCACUGGGCCCAGGACAGGCACGAGUGUCCCCCGGGUCUCCUGUGCCAGAGUCCCGCUGUCUCCCCGGGGCUCAGCUUCUACAUCUGGCGGUGAUGCUCUCGGCGGCCAGACUCAGAAGGCCCAGCGGCCAGUGGCUGAAGCCCCGGGAGGCAGGUGUCCUGUGUACUUCCUCAGAAGUCUGCAGGUGACACGGUCGCUGACUCUGGGCAGAGGUGGCUUCUGCCAUCCUUUGACCUUGAUCUCGGGACCAUGAGGGGGCAGCCCUGGGGCCCACCGAGGCCGAGCCUUCCUCUCCUGUGAAGCAGGAGGUGACCUGCUCCCUGCCGAGUCCCCCCAGUCCCCCCAUCCCGCCCUAGGCGGGAAGUUC